AAGUCACUUAGCAUCUCAUAUUGUGCCAUAUCGAGAUCCUGGCCAUUAUGUAACUAAAGAAUCGGAAAAGACACAGAAAGCUUUCGUGAGCAGAUCAUUUCUAGCUGCAAAAGAAGAAGUGCCUAGACUGGGAAUGUUGGAGCAUGAACAUGGGAGAUUGGUCACUCCAGAAUUAAGGCAAAAUGACUCAUUCUUUCUGGAUGCACCCUCCACAAGCAAAAAACUUCUUCCAAAAAUGGGUGGAGAAGAGUUCCAGAAAAAUCCAGGUAGUUCCUUUGUCAGGUUGUUAAAAAAUGAACCCGGUCCUUCCCAUGUAACUGAACCAAAAGAGUUACAAAAGCUACCACAUCCAUUGCGUGAUGUAGAGACAAUGAGAACAAGCAAUACCGUGGACUCUGUAGUGGGAAUGACUGGAUAUCGUCCCUGCGUUUCUCAGACCAUCCAUAGUAUGUUAAUCACAAAAGGAGCGGAUGCUGGUCUGUUUGAAGGAAACAAUGUAAUCGGUAAUUCAAGGAUGUGGAAUAAAAUUAAUGGGAAAGCAUCAUUAAGUAGCCGUGAUAAGCAAUCUAAAUCUUUUGUUCAUUAUAAGGGAGGAAUGCAGCUUCAAAUUCAAAAUUGCUUCACAGGCAGUGAAAGAAAAGACAAUAUAGAAGACAGAAAGCGUUCUGAAUUUGUGUUAAAGAAUGAAUCUUCAGCUGAAACUGAUACCAUGGACAUGGAUGUGUUUCAGGAGAAGAACCAGCUUUGUGGUACAAGUUCUUCUAUAGCAAAGAAGGUGAACAAAAUGGACCAAACUUUGCCCCGUCAACUUGCACUUGAAGGCUCCAGGAAGGAAGCUGGACACAAACAGCUCAAGUUGGAUAUAAACUUAGAGCUCCCUGCUCCAACUGAUAA
This 894-nucleotide unclassified non-coding RNA is filed under the name Hevea brasiliensis (rubber tree). Lineage: Eukaryota; Viridiplantae; Streptophyta; Magnoliopsida; Malpighiales; Euphorbiaceae. The record is from RNAcentral.